Onychostoma macrolepis is the source of this 199-nucleotide long non-coding RNA. RefSeq lists it as uncharacterized. Lineage: Eukaryota; Metazoa; Chordata; Actinopteri; Cypriniformes; Cyprinidae. The record is from RefSeq and is a predicted model, not a curated record. The transcript is spliced from 3 exons.
CUGCAAUUUCAAUUGUAUAUAAUGGCACUCUGGAAAUGUACUAUUGUGAUCAUAGUUUUAUAUAUCUGGGGUUGUAAUUCUCAAUCUCAAGACAAAGUUGAUCAGCAUAUAAGGAUUCAGUCUGCUUUUGAAGAUAGGUGGAGCCUGUGGGGAUCUGAAAUAGAGCAACUCAACUUUUGCUUUGUACAUUGCAAACAUG